This is a long non-coding RNA of Diospyros lotus (date-plum), 292 nucleotides long. RefSeq lists it as uncharacterized. The transcript is spliced from 3 exons. Lineage: Eukaryota; Viridiplantae; Streptophyta; Magnoliopsida; Ericales; Ebenaceae. The record is from RefSeq and is a predicted model, not a curated record.
GCGGCCUGAACAUGAUUAGAAGAUGUGGCAGUCCAUAAUUUCCAUGUGAAAUACAGAGACUUGGACUUGGCGCGCAAUGAGUUAAGAGAUCAGCUCAUAGUUAGAUGAAUCAUGGGUGACGCAAUAAGUCUCUUUCUCUCAGACCAACCAGGAAGGUGAAGCAUGGACAAGCAAUAGCAAACUGCAAAUUGUGCUGUUUACAAAUAGAGUCCCUGUUCCUAUUUUCUGUUCUUUUAACUGUUUCUUCAGCAAAAAUAAGAUACGUCACUAAAUUAACACAGUAAUUAUCUCA